RNAcentral lists this ribosomal RNA (586 nucleotides) under bacterium TN113B. Its description in RNAcentral is "bacterial SSU rRNA". It matches the Rfam family "Bacterial small subunit ribosomal RNA", at positions 947 to 1531 of the family's 1533-position model. The record is from RNAcentral.
UAAUUCGAUGCAACGCGAAGAACCUUACCAAGGCUUGACAUGAACCGGUAAUACCUGGAAACAGGUGCCCCGCUUGCGGUCGGUUUACAGGUGGUGCAUGGUUGUCGUCAGCUCGUGUCGUGAGAUGUUGGGUUAAGUCCCGCAACGAGCGCAACCCUCGUUCUAUGUUGCCAGCGCGUUAUGGCGGGGACUCAUAGGAGACUGCCGGGGUCAACUCGGAGGAAGGUGGGGACGACGUCAAAUCAUCAUGCCCCUUAUGUCUUGGGCUUCACGCAUGCUACAAUGGCCGGUACAAAGGGUUGCGAUACUGUGAGGUGGAGCUAAUCCCAAAAAGCCGGUCUCAGUUCGGAUUGGGGUCUGCAACUCGACCCCAUGAAGUCGGAGUCGCUAGUAAUCGCAGAUCAGCAACGCUGCGGUGAAUACGUUCCCGGGCCUUGUACACACCGCCCGUCAAGUCACGAAAGUUGGUAACACCCGAAGCCGGUGGCCUAACCCUUGUGGGGGGAGCCGUCGAAGGUGGGACUGGCGAUUGGGACUAAGUCGUAACAAGGUAGCCGUACCGGAAGGUGCGGCUGGAUCACCUCCU